RNAcentral lists this unclassified non-coding RNA (422 nucleotides) under Athalia rosae (coleseed sawfly). RNAcentral describes it as "misc RNA ENSAEAG00005012243.1". Lineage: Eukaryota; Metazoa; Arthropoda; Insecta; Hymenoptera; Athaliidae. The record is from RNAcentral.
UUUCUCCUUCAGGGAGGGCUAUUUGAUACAUGUAUCAAAGGAACUGAUAUUUCAUUCGACUCCAGGAUAGUUGGAUUCCAGUGAUUGGUCGAAUGCGCAUAAAACUCUUGCUAUUCGCAAAUUGUUUAGCCAUUAGGAAUCUCCGAUUUACAAUGUAUGCAAGGGUAGACGUCCAGCGAUUGGACGGCGUACGCCAAUAAGAAUUCAAACUCAUGCAAUUCCCAGAAUUUCUCGCCUUAGGAAGGGAUCUCUGAUACAUAUAAUAUGUUAAAGGAACUUAUUUCGUUCGACUGCCGAAUAUUCGGGUCCAGCGUUUGGACAAACGCACAUAAUAGAUAAUAGGUUGAUUUUUCAAUAGAUUAAAACUUCAUUAACCAAUUUUUGUAUAUAUGAUAAAUAAAUUCUCAAGUAUAGGGGAUUUG